Molecule: long non-coding RNA, 637 nt
Filed under: Gossypium barbadense (sea-island cotton)
Lineage: Eukaryota; Viridiplantae; Streptophyta; Magnoliopsida; Malvales; Malvaceae
Description: long non-coding RNA (GBAR_LNC013767)
Source: RNAcentral
AAAAAGAUUCGUCCUCGAAUCUGAAAAAUCAAAUGAACUCGACUUUCCUCUAUCGAACGGGACUAAUGGCAAUUGAGUCCACUGAAAAGAAUAGCCAUGAGAUAGUAAAUAGCAACGGAAACAAGCUUGUAGUCCAAUCAUAAGCAUAACAGAACAGGUAUAACGCAUGUGAAUGGACAGAUUCAGAUUACCAUGCAAACAAUCUAAUUUACUCACCACUGCCUCGUCAAAUAUUUGAAACAAAGAUGGACAUGUUUUAAGGCAUUCAGUCGUCUCACAUUGUUCUCACAAACCAUGAAUAAAUUGCGAGUAAUAAAUCAAAUGGUAAACAUAAUCGUCACAAGUAGGUAUUUGAAAAGAUUCACAUGGUUCACAGAGUUGCAUAAUCAUACCAUGCAUUAAUCGACGGUCUAUAGAUUCACUCACACAUGCAUUAUCAAAAACAAGAAUCUUUUUAUCAACCAUCAAAACAGAUAGAAUAAAUAAAAUAGGACAGUCAAGCACGUUUCGAUCUAAGUGUUCAUCAACACGAUCUUUAUCACUAUCCGAGGAGUACAAAAGUGUUUCAAAGGUUUCAAGCAUCUUAACUUGAUAAGCAGAAGAAUAAGGGUCGAUUUUACCUUUUUCAUUUAAAACA